RNAcentral lists this ribosomal RNA (253 nucleotides) under uncultured bacterium. Its description in RNAcentral is "partial 16S ribosomal RNA". It matches the Rfam family "Bacterial small subunit ribosomal RNA", at positions 524 to 776 of the family's 1533-position model. The record is from RNAcentral.
UACGUAGGGUGCGAGCGUUGUCCGGAAUUACUGGGCGUAAAGAGCUCGUAGGUGGUUUGUCGCGUUGUCCGUGAAAACUCACAACUCAAUUGUGGGCGUGCGGGCGAUACGGGCAGGCUAGAGUACUGCAGGGGAGACUGGAAUUCCUGGUGUAGCGGUGAAAUGCGCAGAUAUCAGGAGGAACACCGGUGGCGAAGGCGGGUCUCUGGGCAGUAACUGACGCUGAGGAGCGAAAGCGUGGGGAGCGAACAGG